AUGCAUGAUUGCUUACUCUUCAGCAAGGCAACUAACGAGAAGGACGAGGCAUUGGACACGAUUUUGCUCUCUUACUGUCAAGCUUCUGGCCAUCGCAUCAACAAUGAAAAAUCCUCAAUUUUCUUUGGUAAAAAAUGUUCUCAAGCAGUAAGGGAAGAGAUAAAAGAAGCUUCGGAAGUGCACAAAGAAUCCCUCUAAGAGAAAUAUUUGGGUCUCCCCUCAGAGGUAGGACGAGGGAAGAACGGUACUUCUGCAUAUUUAAAAGAUCGAGUAUGGAAGUGUGUAUAG
RNAcentral lists this ribosomal RNA (288 nucleotides) under Triticum aestivum (bread wheat). RNAcentral's name for it is "partial small subunit ribosomal RNA". The record is from RNAcentral. Lineage: Eukaryota; Viridiplantae; Streptophyta; Magnoliopsida; Poales; Poaceae.